This 337-nucleotide ribosomal RNA is filed under the name Ixodes scapularis (black-legged tick). RNAcentral's name for it is "partial 16S ribosomal RNA". Lineage: Eukaryota; Metazoa; Arthropoda; Arachnida; Ixodida; Ixodidae. The record is from RNAcentral.
GGUAUUGAAAUAAGAUUUUAAAUGAGUGCUAAGAGAAUGAUUAAACAAUUAAAAGCUUUCUUUAAUUAAAUAAUUAAAUUUAAUUUUUUUAGUGCAAAAGCAAAAAUAAAAUUUAGGGACAAGAAGACCCUAUGAAUUUUUAUUGUUAAUAAUUAAAAUUUAAAUUAUUAAUAAUUUAAUUGGGGUGAUGAAAAAAGAAUAAGUAUCUUUUUAGUUAUAAAAUAAGUUCCGUUUUUAGCGAUUAAAUGAAAUAAAUACUCUAGGGAUAACAGCGUAAUAAUUUUGGAUAGUUCAUAUAGAUAAAAUAGUUUGCGACCUCGAUGUUGGAUUAGGAUUC